GGAGGCAGCAGNNGGGAAUAUUGCGCAAUGGGCGAAAGCCUGACGCAGCAACGCCGCGUGUGUGAUGAAGGCUCUCGGGUCGUAAAGCACUGUCAGAAGGGAAGAAACAAAUGACGGUACCUUCAAAGGAAGCACCGGCUAACUCCGUGCCAGCAGCCGCGGUAAUACGGAGGGUGCAAGCGUUGUUCGGAAUCAUUGGGCGUAAAGCGCGCGCAGGCGGCUUGCCAAGUCUGAUGUGAAAUCCCGGGGCUCAACCUCGGAACUNCAUUGGAAANUGGUAGGCUUGAGUAUGUGAGGGGUUAGUGGAAUUCCUGGNGUAGGGGNGAAAUCGGUAGAGAUCAGGAGGANCACCGGUGGCGAAGGGGACUNACUGGAACAACACUGACGNUGAGGCGGGA
RNAcentral lists this ribosomal RNA (398 nucleotides) under uncultured bacterium. RNAcentral's name for it is "partial 16S ribosomal RNA". It matches the Rfam family "Bacterial small subunit ribosomal RNA", at positions 344 to 756 of the family's 1533-position model. The record is from RNAcentral.